UUUUACUGCGCUCACUCUUUCUCUUCUGAUGAAAUCCGACGCCGACAUCUCCUCCAAUCUAUGAAAUCCGACGCCGAUUGAGAAGGAUUCAUGGAGCAUCUCCGGUGGAAGAGAUCUCUGGCGAAAGAUUCGUGGAGCAGCCUGACCACUGUCUACAUUUGUGUUCCAUACAUUCUGCAUAUAAAAAUGGCUUCAAACUCUUGGAGCUUGAAUGCAACAUCUUAAUAGUUCUUGAAUGAGUUUGGCUUGAUUUGUUGUUUAUCUGUCUGAUAACUCGCUGCACUAACAAUAAGACGAAGCUAGAUGAAGAACUAACAAGAGCAUCCUGCAGAAUCCGUGUUAGCUUUGAAUCACGAUAAUGUUUUCAACUGUCUACUGUCAAAGUCAGAUUAGUAGCAUUCAAGAUUACGAAGCCAAGUGUUAACAGAGCUAAGUUCUCACUCGGGGAGUAGUAGGAGCUGAAGAAUCGAAGUUAAGUGCUGAGUAACACAUCUUUGAAUACGAGAUGAAUUGCGCCAAGAAUUGUGGCGUGAAAUGCAUCAAAAACUACACGAGCAAAAAAGGGAGAUGGAAGAAAUGAUGAAGUAGUUUAUGACGUCCAAGCAACCCCAACAAUCAAGUCACACUCGUAUUUAUGAUGAUGAGUUGAUAUAUCUCAUGAACUCACUUGGAAACUCAUACACUUCAUGUUUAUUUUACUUAGAAUGUUGGUUGUAUUUUGACUAAUAAUUUUGAGGCUUAUCAAUGAUGAUUUUCAUUUUGUUGGUCA
Molecule: non-coding RNA, 769 nt
Organism: Salvia hispanica
Lineage: Eukaryota; Viridiplantae; Streptophyta; Magnoliopsida; Lamiales; Lamiaceae
Source: RefSeq, a predicted model, not a curated record